GAGUUUUGAUCAUGGCUCAGGAUGAACGCUAGCUACAGGCUUAACACAUGCAAGUCGAGGGGAAACGACAUCGAAAGCUUGCUUUUGAUGGGCGUCGACCGGCGCACGGGUGAGUAACGCGUAUCCAACCUGCCCACCACUUGGGGAUAACCUUGCGAAAGUAAGACUAAUACCCAAUGACGUCUCUAGAAGACAUCUGAAAGAGAUUAAAGAUUUAUCGGUGAUGGAGUGGGGAUGCGUCUGAUUAGCUUGGUUGGCGGGGUAACGGCCACCGAAGGCUACGAUCGAGGUAGGGGUUCUAGAGAGGAACGGUCCCCACAGUUGGACUGAGACACGGUACCAACGUCCGUAGGGAGGCA
RNAcentral lists this ribosomal RNA (359 nucleotides) under uncultured bacterium. Its description in RNAcentral is "bacterial SSU rRNA". It matches the Rfam family "Bacterial small subunit ribosomal RNA", at positions 9 to 350 of the family's 1533-position model. The record is from RNAcentral.